AUUGAAGUGGCAGACCCCGGCAUAAUGCAAAAGACCUAAGCCCUUUAGAUAGGGGUUCAAAUCCCCUCUUCAAUA
Molecule: transfer RNA, 75 nt
Filed under: Centropristis striata (black sea bass)
Lineage: Eukaryota; Metazoa; Chordata; Actinopteri; Perciformes; Serranidae
Description: tRNA-Leu
Rfam family: tRNA
About the family: Transfer RNA (tRNA) molecules are approximately 80 nucleotides in length. Their secondary structure includes four short double-helical elements and three loops (D, anti-codon, and T loops).
Source: RNAcentral